This 795-nucleotide ribosomal RNA is filed under the name uncultured Sphaerochaeta sp. RNAcentral's name for it is "bacterial SSU rRNA". It matches the Rfam family "Bacterial small subunit ribosomal RNA", at positions 8 to 795 of the family's 1533-position model. Lineage: Bacteria; Pseudomonadati; Spirochaetota; Spirochaetia; Spirochaetales; Sphaerochaetaceae. The record is from RNAcentral.
AGAGUUUGAUUAUGGCUCAAACGAACGCUGGCGGCGCGUUUUAAGCAUGCAAGUCGAGCGGCAAGGGUCUUCGGGCCCCUAGAGCGGCGGACGGGUGAGUAACACGUGGACAAUCUGCCCCCCGGCCGGGGAUAGCCCAGGGAAACCUGGAUUAAUACCGGAUGAGACGGGACCCGCGGAGGCGGGAUCCGGGAAAGGCGCUGCGGCGCCGCCGGGGGAUGAGUCUGCGUCCCAUUAGCUUGACGGCGGGGUAACGGCCCACCGUGGCGACGAUGGGUAGCCGGCCUGAGAGUGUGGACGGCCACAUUGGAACUGAGACACGGUCCAGACUCCUACGGGAGGCAGCAGCUAAGAAUCUUCCGCAAUGGGCGAAAGCCUGACGGAGCGACGCCGCGUGAACGAAGAAGGCCGUGAGGUUGUAAAGUUCUUUUCGGGAGGGGGAACAACCGUGGCAGGGAAUGGCCGCGGGAUGACGUGAAUCCCGGAAUAAGCCCCGGCUAACUACGUGCCAGCAGCCGCGGUAACACGUAGGGGGCGAGCGUUGUUCGGAAUCAUUGGGCGUAAAGGGCGUGCAGGCGGUCCUGCAAGUCCGGCGUGAAAGACCCCGGCCCAACCGGGGGGGCGCGCUGGAAACUGCAGGGCUUGAGUACAGGAGGGGAUGCCGGAAUUCCAGGUGUAGGGGUGAAAUCUGUAGAUAUCUGGAGGAACACCAAUGGCGAAGGCAGGCAUCUGGCCAUGUACUGACGCUGAGACGCGAAGUGCGGGGAGCAAACAGGAUUAGAUACCCUGGUAGUC